This 27-nucleotide non-coding RNA is filed under the name Mus musculus (house mouse). The record is from RNAcentral. Lineage: Eukaryota; Metazoa; Chordata; Mammalia; Rodentia; Muridae.
UCCAGGGGACUAAUUUAGAUUUUCCUG